This is a long non-coding RNA of Thamnophis elegans (Western terrestrial garter snake), 693 nucleotides long. RefSeq lists it as uncharacterized. NCBI's taxonomy places the organism in Eukaryota, Metazoa, Chordata, Lepidosauria, Squamata, Natricidae. The record is from RefSeq and is a predicted model, not a curated record. The transcript has 5 exons.
GGAGCAAACGCGCAGGCGCCCAUUUCGUAGCAAGGAGGGAAGAAGUGCAGCCUCUACUCGUUUCCAGAAAAGCAGCCGGGAGAAGGCUCCUACUGCAAACUUACCCCUGUGUAUUCCAUAAUCUUGAUCGGAUAAUGUUGAACAUGGCUUUCAUCAUAAUGUGAGGAAGUGUUUGAAUGUGAGGUAUUAUCAAUGUCUCUUGGGCAUCUCUUCAGAAAAAAGUACCAUAAUAUAAGAAGAUUCUACAAUGCUUUCAGAAUGAGUCAGCCCACCACUUUAUCUGCUCCAACUCUGCCUGUACUUGGGACUUCUGAAUCUAUACAAGGGCUACUUCAUUUACACAAGGGGACGAUGAUGACACAUGAUUUCAUGUGCUACUUAGAUCCUGUGCCUAUGCAAAUGAAUCUUUGCUUACUAGCGCAGCCAUGGGUCCAUGGCCUAGGGGUUGAACACCCCCUCCUCUAUAGGAUUGACAAAGAACUAGUGCAAGAUUGGAAGAUGUGGAAAGACCUGGCCUGUAGAAUCACCAAGAGUCAGGCACAACUUGAAUGGAUAACAUCAUUAUCAUAAGAUUAAACCCAUAAAAAGCUGUAGUUACUGUAUGUGUAUCAGGUUUUGGUGCUGGAUUGGUUCCUGCAGCAAUUUCGUCCCUUGGAAGAGGGUGGAAAAACGUGUAUACCAGGUCACACUGCA